CCUACGGGAGGCUGCAGUGGGGAAUAUUGCACAAUGGGCGCAAGCCUGAUGCAGCCAUGCCGCGUGUGUGAAGAAGGCCUUCGGGUUGUAAAGCACUUUCAGCGGGGAGGAAGGCGUUAAGGUUAAUAACCUUGGCGAUUGACGUUACCCGCAGAAGAAGCACCGGCUAACUCCGUGCCAGCAGCCGCGGUAAUACGGAGGGUGCAAGCGUUAAUCGGAAUUACUGGGCGUAAAGCGCACGCAGGCGGUCUGUCAAGUCGGAUGUGAAAUCCCCGGGCUCAACCUGGGAACUGCAUUCGAAACUGGCAGGCUAGAGUCUUAUAGAGGGGGGUAGAAUUCCAGGUGUAGCGGUGAAAUGCGUAGAGAUCUGGAGGAAUACCGGUGGCGAAGGCGGCCCCCUGGACAAAGACUGACGCUCAGGUGCGAAAGCGUGGGGAGCAAACAGGAUUAAAUACCCCAGUAGUC
This 465-nucleotide ribosomal RNA is filed under the name uncultured Klebsiella sp. RNAcentral's name for it is "bacterial SSU rRNA". It matches the Rfam family "Bacterial small subunit ribosomal RNA", at positions 338 to 795 of the family's 1533-position model. Lineage: Bacteria; Pseudomonadati; Pseudomonadota; Gammaproteobacteria; Enterobacterales; Enterobacteriaceae. The record is from RNAcentral.